GCCGCCGGCGCGCGGCUGUGACGCAGCGCCCGCGCGCGCCCCGACGGGCCGGCUCCCUCAGGCGGGUCCCGGGCAGCCCCGGGCCGGGCUGGCAACAGCGGAGUGCCGCGUCAAACGCUACACAGGCUAAUGGUAACACAGAUGAGGAGGAGACGUACUCCACCCCUUCACAGGCACACAGCUGGCAAUGGAAGUGGCUAACUAUUUCAGCGUCUUGCCAGACUGAAUGAGAAAGUGGAGAGAUCAUGAUAUAAAAACCAGAUUACUGAAGUCAAAGUGAGACCCAGGUGAGGACUCUCAACAUUUUAUCCUUAUCAGCUGAGAAGAACUUUCAGCAGAAACUCAUUUGAACACAACAUCAAGCAUGGUUUUUCUAACACUAGAUUCUCAUGGAAGUUGAUUAUAAUUAAAGCAAUUGUGUCACUACAAUAAGGAGUUGCACUUUAUCUUUACAUUAGCACCACAAGAAUGUUAUCCUUUUGAAAGGAUAAGAUCCUAUGUCAAAAUUCAUAUAGGAUAUUUUUUAAGAAAGCAACACCAAACAACUUCACAGACUGCAGUGUCCUUGGCAAGGCCACACUGGUCUGAAAAAUGCUAAACCAAGAGGUGGAUCUACAUUCAGAAAGUAAUACAGUUUGCACCCCAACUGCAGCAGACUGAAGUUUCCUGCUAGAAGUGCACAACAGGCAAGACACAUUCCCAUGGACCUUCUAUCACACUUAUACUGUAUCAUAGCCCAUACGCUGCUAGAUCCAAAACAAUAUCCAUCCCAUGAAUCUCAGAGUACGAGGUCUUCACUUGG
Prinia subflava (tawny-flanked prinia) is the source of this 802-nucleotide long non-coding RNA. RefSeq lists it as uncharacterized. The transcript is spliced from 3 exons. The record is from RefSeq and is a predicted model, not a curated record. Lineage: Eukaryota; Metazoa; Chordata; Aves; Passeriformes; Cisticolidae.